Molecule: ribosomal RNA, 371 nt
Filed under: uncultured bacterium
Lineage: Bacteria
Description: bacterial SSU rRNA
Rfam family: Bacterial small subunit ribosomal RNA
Source: RNAcentral
GUAGGGGGCGAGCGUUGUCCGGAAUUAUUGGGCGUAAAGAGCGUGUAGGCGGUUCGGUAAGUCUGCCGUGAAAACCUGGGGCUCAACCCCGGGCGUGCGGUGGAUACUGCCGGGCUAGAGGGUGGUAGAGGCAAGUGGAAUUCCGAGUGUAGCGGUGAAAUGCGCAGAUAUUCGGAGGAACACCAGUAGCGAAGGCGGCUUGCUGGGCCACACCUGACGCUGAGACGCGAAAGCUAGGGGAGCGAACAGGAUUAGAUACCCUGGUAGUCCUAGCCGUAAACGAUGGACACUAGGUGUGGGCGGAGUCGAAUCUGUCCGUGCCGAAGCCAACGCGAUAAGUGUCCCGCCUGGGGAGUACGGCCGCAAGGCUA